AUUGAACGCUGGCGGCAGGCCUAACACAUGCAAGUCGAACGGUAACAGGAAGAAGCUUGCUUCUUUGCUGACGAGUGGCGGACGGGUGAGUAAUGUCUGGGAAACUGCCUGAUGGAGGGGGAUAACUACUGGAAACGGUAGCUAAUACCGCAUAACGUCGCAAGACCAAAAAGGGGGACCUUCGGGCCUCUUGCCAUCGGAUGUGCCCAGAUGGGAUUAGCUAGUAGGUGGGGUAACGGCUCACCUAGGCGACGAUCCCUAGCUGGUCUGAGAGGAUGACCAGCCACACUGGAACUGAGACACGGUCCAGACUCCUACGGGAGGCAGCAGUGGGGAAUAUUGCACAAUGGGCGCAAGCCUGAUGCAGCCAUGCCGCGUGUAUGAAGAAGGCCUUCGGGUUGUAAAGUACUUUCAGCGGGGAGGAAGGGAGUAAAGUUAAAACCUUUGCUCAUUGACGUUACCCGCAGAAGAAGCACCGGCUAACUCCGUG
Molecule: ribosomal RNA, 490 nt
Filed under: uncultured bacterium
Lineage: Bacteria
Description: partial 16S ribosomal RNA
Rfam family: Bacterial small subunit ribosomal RNA
Source: RNAcentral